RNAcentral lists this ribosomal RNA (346 nucleotides) under Acetobacter pasteurianus. Its description in RNAcentral is "bacterial SSU rRNA". It matches the Rfam family "Bacterial small subunit ribosomal RNA", at positions 384 to 751 of the family's 1533-position model. The record is from RNAcentral. Lineage: Bacteria; Pseudomonadati; Pseudomonadota; Alphaproteobacteria; Acetobacterales; Acetobacteraceae.
UGAUCAGCAUGCCGCGUGUGUGAGAGGUCUUCGGAUUGUAAAGCACUUUCGACGGGGACGAUGAUGACGGUACCCGUAGAAGAAGCCCCGGCUAACUUCGUGCCAGCAGCCGCGGUAAUACGAAGGGGGCUAGCGUUGCUCGGAAUGACUGGGCGUAAAGGGCGUGUAGGCGGUUUGUACAGUCAGAUGUGAAAUCCCCGGGCUUAACCUGGGAGCUGCAUUUGAUACGUGCAGACUAGAGUGUGAGAGAGGGUUGUGGAAUUCCCAGUGUAGAGGUGAAAUUCGUAGAUAUUGGGAAGAACACCGGUGGCGAAGGCGGCAACCUGGCUCAUUACUGACGCUGAGG